GACGAACGCUGGCGGCGUGCUUAACACAUGCAAGUCGAACGGAAGGGCCCGCUUUUGGUGGGCUGCUCGAGGGGCAAAGGGGUGUGAAACACGGGAGUAUCCUCCCCUUGACUUUGGGGUACCUUCAGGAACCGGGGACUAACACCGAAUAGGUGCCCCUGAUGCCGGGGGGGGUUUGGAAAUUUCCGGCGGUUGGGGGGGGAUUCGCGGCUAAUCAGCUGGUUGGGGGGGUAGCGGCUUAGCAGGCCUUUGACGGGUGGCCGGCCUGGGGGGGUAGCCGGCCACCAUGGGCCUGAGGUACGGCCCAGACGCCUACGGGAGGCAGCAGUCGGGAAUAUUACACAAUGGGCCGAAGCCUGAUGCGGCAACGCCGCGUGCGGGAUGACGGCCUUCGGGUUGUAAACCGCUUUCGCCUGUGACGAAGCGUGAGUGACGGUAAUGGGUAAAGAAGCACCGGCUAACUACGUG
RNAcentral lists this ribosomal RNA (468 nucleotides) under uncultured bacterium. RNAcentral describes it as "partial 16S ribosomal RNA". It matches the Rfam family "Bacterial small subunit ribosomal RNA", at positions 28 to 507 of the family's 1533-position model. The record is from RNAcentral.